UGGGGAAUAUUGCGCAAUGGGCGGAAGCCUGACGCAGCGACGCCGCGUGGGGGAUGACGGCCUUCGGGUUGUAAACCCCUUUCGCUAGGGACGAAGCUUUAUUGUGACGGUACCUGGAUAAGAAGCACCGGCCAACUACGUGCCAGCAGCCGCGGUAAUACGGGGGGUGCAAGCGUUGUCCGGAAUCAUUGGGCGUAAAGCGUUCGUAGGCGGUAUAUCAAGUCUGGUGUUAAAGCCCGGGGCUCAACUCCGGUUCAGCAUCGGAUACUGGUAAACUAGAAUGCGGUAGAGGUAAGGGGAAUUCCUGGUGUAGCGGUGAAAUGCGUAGAUAUCAGGAGGAACAUCGGUGGCGAAAGCGCCUUACUGGGCCGUUAUUGACGCUGAGGAACGAAAGCCGGGGGAGCAAAU
RNAcentral lists this ribosomal RNA (408 nucleotides) under uncultured bacterium. RNAcentral's name for it is "bacterial SSU rRNA". It matches the Rfam family "Bacterial small subunit ribosomal RNA", at positions 355 to 773 of the family's 1533-position model. The record is from RNAcentral.